Long non-coding RNA from Cucurbita maxima (winter squash), 1076 nucleotides. RefSeq lists it as uncharacterized. The transcript is spliced from 4 exons. The record is from RefSeq and is a predicted model, not a curated record. Lineage: Eukaryota; Viridiplantae; Streptophyta; Magnoliopsida; Cucurbitales; Cucurbitaceae.
UGGGGAACUGAACUCAGAACUGCCGCUUUCGUCCUCUGAGGCUUCUCCUUCUCGGCCUCUCUCUCUCUCUCUCUCUCUCUCUCUUCACCAAUAUUACUUCAGCUUCUGAAGGCUUUUCGAUUUCAGAUAAAGCUAUGGAAGCCGACGAGGCCGACCGUGUCUUUCCAUUUCAGCUCCAAUUCGACAAGCAUAUUGCCUCUCAGGUUAAAAUUGCCGAGUGGAAACCGGAAAGGAUUUGCUAGCCAUGGUCACAGAAGACUUGCGAGUUUUGCUCCACCGUGGCGGAGGUUGCGGACUAUAUCACCUGGUGAGUUUUUCAAAGAAGCUUUUCUUAUGCCCUUAAGUACAAUCUCAAGGACAAUACUUUGUGAAGAUCUGUUGUCCCUAUUCCCCUUUUAAUCUUCGUGGCAAGCUGCUCUCGUCUUCCAGUGUUCUUCUUUCAGUGUCGUACUAUGAGGAAUCCUCUGAAGCUGUCUCCGCGGAUCAAAGUUGUCAGCGGAAGUUCACGGAUUUAUAUCUUUCAAAGUCCCAGAUGAUUCUUUUGUAGAAAUUGCAAAUUGUGUAGGCAUAUCCAGGGGAUCUUUUUCAUGAUCAGAGCUGCUCAAACGGAGAUUACUCUUCAAUUGAAGCAGCCUUGGUAUCUAUUCCCGAUGAUUCUCAUUUGUUGUGCCGUAAUGCCACAACCUUUAAUGCUCUAAUAUCAAUUGUUGUAGCGGAAACAGAAGCAGAAGCAAGAUUGAUUGCACUCAUACACCUACAAAUAGAAAUUAAACAAAGAGACACAAACACAAAGACAACUUACAACACUGUCUUUGUACAAGGUCCAGCAAUUUUUUUUUUCUCUGCAUACUCAUUGUGGAAAUGGAAAGUAAAAGAUUGACAGAAAUCCUGUGAUUAAUUAGUGGACCUAUAUGGUUGUGAACAGAAUGGACAGAUUGUUUUGUUAUGAAAUGAAAUUGCUUCUACUUCUGAAAGCUCUUUUGGUUCCUGUAUGAUGGUUGUGCAAGCAGAUGACCUUACGUUUGUUUCUAUGCCAAGAUCUCCGUCUGGACAGUUGGAAGGCUCAUCAACUCAAG